UACGGGGGGAGCAAGCGUUGUUCGGAAUCACUGGGCGUAAAGGGCGUGUAGGCGGCCAAGUAAGUCGGGGGUGAAAUCCACUGGCUCAACCAGUGACGUGCCUUCGAAACUGCCUGGCUUGAGUAUGGCAGAGGGAAGCGGAAUUCCAGGUGUAGCGGUGAAAUGCGUAGAUAUCUGGAAGAACACCGGUGGCGAAGGCGGCUUCCUGGGCCAAUACUGACGCUGAGGCGCGAAAGCCAGGGGAGCGAACGGG
Molecule: ribosomal RNA, 253 nt
Filed under: uncultured bacterium
Lineage: Bacteria
Description: partial 16S ribosomal RNA
Rfam family: Bacterial small subunit ribosomal RNA
Source: RNAcentral